This 378-nucleotide ribosomal RNA is filed under the name uncultured bacterium. RNAcentral's name for it is "bacterial SSU rRNA". It matches the Rfam family "Bacterial small subunit ribosomal RNA", at positions 30 to 414 of the family's 1533-position model. The record is from RNAcentral.
AUUGAACGCUGGCGGCAGGCCUAAUACAUGCAAGUCGAACGGUAACAUAAAAGAAGCUUGCUUCUUUGAUGACGAGUGGCGGACGGGUGAGUAAUAUUUGGGAAACUACCUGAUAGAGGGGGACAACAGUUGGAAACGACUGCUAAUACCGCAUAUAGCCUGAGGGUGAAAGCAGCAAUGCGCUAUCAGAUGUGCCCAAACGGGAUUAGCUAGUAGGUGAGGUAAAGGCUCACCUAGGCGACGAUCUCUAGCUGGUCUGAGAGGAUGAUCAGCCACAUUGGGACUGAGACACGGCCCAGGCUCCUACGGGAGCAGCAGUAGGGAAUAUUGCACAAUGGAGGAAACUCUGAUGCAGCCAUGCCGCGUGUGUGAAGAAGG